CCUACGGGAGGCAGCAGUGGGGAAUAUUGCACAAUGGGGGCAACCCUGAUGCAGCGACGCCGCGUGAGUGAUGAAGUACUUAGGUAUGUUAAGCUCUAUCUACAGGGGAGUAAAUGAAGGUACGUGAUUCAGAUGCCACGGAUAACUACGUGCCAGAAGCCGCGGUAAUACGGAGGGGGCCAGGGUUAUCCGGAUUUACUGGGUGUAAAGGGAGCGUAGACGGCAGCACAAGUCUGGAGUGAAAUGCCGGGGCUUAACCCCGGAACUGCUUUGGAAACUGUGCAGCUAGAGUGCAGGAGAGGUAAGUGGAAUUCGUAGUGUAGCGGUGAAAUGCGUAGAUAUUAGGAGGAACACCGGUGGCGAAGGCAGCUUACUGGACUGUAACUGACGUUGAGGCUCGAAAGCGUGGGGAGCAAACAGGAUUAGAUACCCCAGUAGUC
This 440-nucleotide ribosomal RNA is filed under the name uncultured bacterium. RNAcentral's name for it is "partial 16S ribosomal RNA". It matches the Rfam family "Bacterial small subunit ribosomal RNA", at positions 338 to 795 of the family's 1533-position model. The record is from RNAcentral.